RNAcentral lists this long non-coding RNA (1226 nucleotides) under Calidris pugnax (ruff). Its description in RNAcentral is "lncRNA (ENSCPUG00000004125.1)". The record is from RNAcentral. Lineage: Eukaryota; Metazoa; Chordata; Aves; Charadriiformes; Scolopacidae.
GGCAUGCUGAGGGGAAAAUGUGGCCACAUGUCCUGUCUGUCAGUAAUUUUAUUACUGAGAUAUAGACACCUGGAAAAUCUAAACCUACUUAAAAACAAAUGAAGCUUAAGUAGAGAAGAAAAUCCUUGUUAUUCAUUACAAGCAGCGAUAUUUGCUAUGCACUGCAGCUACAGAUGUACUCUGAAUGACCAUGGAUACAGCAAUUUUUGUUGUACUCAAAUGAAGCAAUAACUUGGAGAAGAGUGCUGCUCUGCCAGCAGAAGAAGGCAAGACCUUCCUUCCCACAGCGAGGAAUAAGUAGACUGUCCCAGUGAGACAAAUUACAGCAUCGUGGAACUGAUAGGAAAGAGUAAGCCAGGAAAAGACCCCAAAUUGUGCAAUCACUUCCAGGAAACGAAAUGUUCAUUAUAAUAGAAAUGAUUUUUCCCCCCCUCCUUUCUUUAUAAUGGCUAAUGCUAUGAUUAACAUACCAGAUUGUACAUGGAGUCUCAGCACAAGACAUCAAAGGCUUUCCACAGGCUCCUGUGAACACAGAGAAGUGGAGCUGCUCCUCCAGCCUGCUGCAGAUUGCUAAUUUUGAUCUAGCUUUCUCAGGUGACAAAAGCAGAGGCUGGGUGGACUCUAUCCUUUCACCCCCUGCAAGGGCUGCUGUUAGACAUGGGAUUGCAAUAAGCAGGACCAGGUGCCAGUGUACCAAGCCUCUGUUCUAAGCCGUGGGGUGACACACAGUGGAUCGCUAAGGGGCAAGGACUCUCAUCCCCUGCAACUGGCUCUUCCUUGAUGUAACUCAACUCCAGAGAAGCUAUUCCAACCUUAGACCACUCUUAGACAAGCACUGAGCCUGCUUGUCCUUGGCUGACUACGUCAUCAGGAUCUGUUCAAUUUCAUGUCAUAUUUAUUUUAAUUAGUAUUCCAUUAAUUCGGUUUUGCUGCACUACUCAUCUCGUAUCUUAGUAGUCUUUGGGCCUGUUGGCUUUCAUGAAGCCCUUUCCCCUCUUUGUUUUAAGCAGUUUUCAGAUUUUAUGAAAGUGCGUUGGCUUUCAUGAAGCCCUUCAUUUUAAGCAGUUUUCAGAUUUUAUGAAAGUGAAGUUUGGCUUCUUCUAGCAAUUGCUUCUCUCCAGUUUCCCCAAGCCUGCCACUGUGCAGAGAACCCUUUGGCAAAGAACUGCAGAGAAGUCCCACUGGACUUUGUGUUCUUUUUUUUCUUGUUUUCAUCUUAAUUCCUC